Molecule: ribosomal RNA, 491 nt
Filed under: uncultured bacterium
Lineage: Bacteria
Description: bacterial SSU rRNA
Rfam family: Bacterial small subunit ribosomal RNA
Source: RNAcentral
ACUCAAAUGAAUUGACGGGGGCCCGCACAAGCAGUGGAUUAUGUGGUUUAAUUCGAAGCAACGCGAAGAACCUUACCAGGUCUUGACAUCGUGCGCAUAGCUUAGAGAUAAGUGAAGCCCUUCGGGGCGCACAGACAGGUGGUGCAUGGUUGUCGUCAGCUCGUGUCGUGAGAUGUUGGGUUAAGUCCCGCAACGAGCGCAACCCUUACUGUUAGUUGCUACGCAAGAGCACUCUAACGGGACUGCCGUUGACAAAACGGAGGAAGGUGGGGAUGACGUCAAAUCAUCAUGCCCCUUAUGACCUGGGCUACACACGUAAUACAAUGGCGGCUAACAAUGGGCUGCGACAUCGCGAGGUGAAGCGAAUCCCCAAAAGCCGUCUCAGUUCGGAUUGCAGGCUGCAACUCGCCUGCAUGAAGUCGGAAUUGCUAGUAAUCGCGGAUCAGCAUGCCGCGGUGAAUACGUUCCCGGGCCUUGUACACACCGCCCGU